RNAcentral lists this ribosomal RNA (905 nucleotides) under uncultured beta proteobacterium. RNAcentral describes it as "bacterial SSU rRNA". It matches the Rfam family "Bacterial small subunit ribosomal RNA", at positions 8 to 916 of the family's 1533-position model. The record is from RNAcentral. Lineage: Bacteria; Pseudomonadati; Pseudomonadota; Betaproteobacteria.
AGAGUUUGAUCCUGGCUCAGAUUGAACGCUGGCGGCAUGCCUUACACAUGCAAGUCGAACGGGAACGCGGGGCAACCUGGCGACGAGUGGGGAACGGGUGAGUAAUGUAUCGGAACGUGCCCAGUUGUGGGGGAUAACUGCUCGAAAGAGCAGCUAAUACCGCAUACGACCUGAGGGCGAAAGCGGGGGAUCGCAAGACCUCGCGCAAUUGGAGCGGCCGAUAUCAGAUUAAGUAGUUGGUGGGGUAAAGGCUCACCAAGCCAACGAUCUGUAGCUGGUCUGAGAGGACGACCAGCCACACUGGGACUGAGACACGGCCCAAACUCCUACGGGAGGCAGCAGUGGGGAAUUUUGGACAAUGGACGCAAGUGUGGUCCAGCCAUGCCGCGUGCGGGAAGAAGGCCUUCGGGUUGUAAACCGCUUUUGUCAGGGAAGAAACGCUCUGGGUUAAUACCUCGGGGUAAUGACGGUACCUGAAGAAUAAGCACCGGCUAACUACGUGCCAGCAGCCGCGGUAAUACGUAGGGUGCAAGCGUUAAUCGGAAUUACUGGGCGUAAAGCGUGCGCACGCGGUUAUGCAAGACAGAUGUGAAAUCCCCGGGCUCAACCUGGGAACUGCCUUUGUGACUGCAUAGCUAGAGUACGGUAGAGGGGGAUGGAAUUCCGCGUGUAGCAGUGAAAUGCGUAUAUAUGCGGAGGAACACCGAUGGCGAAGGCAAUCCCCUGGACCUGUACUGACGCUCAUGCACGAAAGCGUGGGGAGCAAACAGGAUUAGAUACCCUGGUAGUCCACGCCCUAACGAUGUCACUGGUUGUUGGGUCUUAACUGACUCAUAACAAAGCUAACGCGUGAAGUGACCGCCUGGGGAGUACGGCCGCAGGUUGAAACUCAAAGGAAUUGACGG